AAAAUGCUAACCUCAUUUCUUCCUCUGCUAGAUCUCUUCUUAUCCUUUUGAACAUCCAAACUUUCUUCAGACAAAAUAUUGAAAUUUGGUGUAGAGGAUCGUGGAGUAGGAGACUUAUCCUUGAAAAU
Molecule: small RNA, 128 nt
Filed under: Arabidopsis thaliana (thale cress)
Lineage: Eukaryota; Viridiplantae; Streptophyta; Magnoliopsida; Brassicales; Brassicaceae
Description: ATSL276420
Source: RNAcentral